UGGGGAAUAUUGCACAAUGGGCGCAAGCCUGAUGCAGCCAUGCCGCGUGUAUGAAGAAGGCCUUCGGGUUGUAAAGUACUUUCAGCGGGGAGGAAGGCGAUACGGUUAAUAACCUUGUCGAUUGACGUUACCCGCAGAAGAAGCACCGGCUAACUCCGUGCCAGCAGCCGCGGAAAUACGGAGGGUGCAAGCGUUAAUCGGAAUUACUGGGCGUAAAGCGCACGCAGGCGGUCUGUCAAGUCGGAUGUGAAAUCCCCGGGCUCAACCUGGGAACUGCAUUCGAAACUGGCAGGCUAGAGUCUUGUAGAGGGGGGUAGAAUUCCAGGUGUAGCGGUGAAAUGCGUAGAGAUCUGGAGGAAUACCGGUGGCGAAGGCGGCCCCCUGGACAAAGACUGACGCUCAGGUGCGAAAGCGUGGGGAGCAAACA
This 427-nucleotide ribosomal RNA is filed under the name uncultured bacterium. Its description in RNAcentral is "partial 16S ribosomal RNA". It matches the Rfam family "Bacterial small subunit ribosomal RNA", at positions 355 to 774 of the family's 1533-position model. The record is from RNAcentral.